This 229-nucleotide ribosomal RNA is filed under the name uncultured eukaryote. Its description in RNAcentral is "partial 18S ribosomal RNA". It matches the Rfam family "Eukaryotic small subunit ribosomal RNA", at positions 1208 to 1456 of the family's 1831-position model. The record is from RNAcentral.
GGAAAUCUCACCAGCCCCACACAUAAAGAGGAUUGACAGUUUGAUAGUUCUUUCUUGAUUCUAUGGUUGGUGGUGCAUGGCCGUUCUUAGUUGGUGGAGUGAUCUGUCUGGUUAAUUCCGUUAACGAACGAGACCUUAACCUGCUAAAUAGCGCCGAGUUACUUUGGUAACGAAGGUGUCUUCUUAGAGGGACGUCACGUGUCUAACGUGAGGAGGUGUGAGGCAAUAA